Molecule: ribosomal RNA, 325 nt
Filed under: uncultured eukaryote
Lineage: Eukaryota
Description: partial 18S ribosomal RNA
Rfam family: Eukaryotic small subunit ribosomal RNA
Source: RNAcentral
CCCUUAGAUGUUCUGGGCUGCACGCGCGCUACACUGAUGCGCUCAACGAGUUUACGACCUUGCCCGGAAGGGUUGGGUAAUCUUUUUAAAACGCAUCGUGAUGGGGAUAGAUUAUUGCAAUUAUUAAUCUUUAACGAGGAAUUCCUAGUAAGCGCGAGUCAUCAGCUCGCAUUGAUUACGUCCCUGCCCUUUGUACACACCGCCCGUCGCACCUACCGAUUGAAUGUUUCGGUGAAGAUUCCGGAUAGGACUUUUUUGAUUUAUUUCAAUUUUGUCUUAAAAGCUAUCUAAACCUCAACAUUUAGAGGAAGGUGAAGUCGUAACA